GAUGAACGCUGACAGAAUGCUUAACACAUGCAAGUCUACUUGAAGCUAACUUCGGUUAGUGGAGGGUGGCGGACGGGUGAGUAACGCGUAAAGAACUUGCCUCACAGAUUGGGACAACAUUUGGAAACGAAUGCUAAUACCGGAUAUUAUGAUACUUCCGCAUGGAAGAAUCAUGAAAGCUAUAUGCGCUGUGAGAGAGCUUUGCGUCCCAUUGGCUAGUUGGAGAGGUAACGGCUCACCAAGGCGAUGAUGGGUAGCCGGCCUGAGAGGGUGAACGGCCACAAGGGGACUGAGACACGGCCCUUACUCCUACGGGAGGCAGCAGUGGGGAAUAUUGGACAAUGGACCAAAAGUCUGAUCCAGCAAUUCUGUGUGCACGAUGAAGUUUUUCGGAAUGUAAAGUGCUUUCAGUUGGGAAGAAGCAAGUGACGGUACCAACAGAAGAAGCGACGGCUAAAUACGUGCCAGCAGCCGCGGUAAUACGUAUGUCGCAAGCGUUAUCCGGAUUUAUCGGGCGUAAAGCGCGUCUAGGUGGUUAUAUAAGUCUGAUGUGAAAAUGCGGGGCUCAACUCCGUAUUGCGUUGGAAACUGUAUGACUAGAGUACUGGAGAGGUAAGCGGAACUACAAGUGUAGAGGUGAAAUUCGUAGAUAUUUGUAGGAAUGCCGAUGGGGAAGCCAGCUUACUGGACAGAUACUGACGCUAAAGCGCGAAAGCGUGGGUAGCAAACAGG
RNAcentral lists this ribosomal RNA (732 nucleotides) under uncultured bacterium. RNAcentral's name for it is "bacterial SSU rRNA". It matches the Rfam family "Bacterial small subunit ribosomal RNA", at positions 28 to 776 of the family's 1533-position model. The record is from RNAcentral.